UACAGAGGGUGCGAGCGUUAAUCGGAAUUACUGGGCGUAAAGCGUGCGUAGACGGUUAUUUAAGUCGGGUGUGAAAGCCCCGGGCUCAACCUGGGAAUUGCAUUCGAGACUGAAUAGCUAGGGUACGGUAGAGGGAAGCGGAAUUUCCGGUGUAGCGGUGAAAUGCGUAGAUAUCGGGAGGAACACCAGUGGCGAAGGCGGCUUCCUGGCCUGUUCUUGACGCUGAGGCGCGAAAGCUAGGGGAGCAAACGGG
This 253-nucleotide ribosomal RNA is filed under the name uncultured bacterium. RNAcentral describes it as "partial 16S ribosomal RNA". It matches the Rfam family "Bacterial small subunit ribosomal RNA", at positions 524 to 776 of the family's 1533-position model. The record is from RNAcentral.